This 482-nucleotide ribosomal RNA is filed under the name uncultured bacterium. RNAcentral describes it as "partial 16S ribosomal RNA". It matches the Rfam family "Bacterial small subunit ribosomal RNA", at positions 30 to 507 of the family's 1533-position model. The record is from RNAcentral.
AUUGAACGCUGGCGGCAUGCUUUAUACAUGCAAGUCGAACGGUAACAGGCCGCAAGGUGCUGACGAGUGGCGAACGGGUGAGUAAUGCAUCGGAACGUGCCCAGUCGUGGGGGUUAACUACUCGAAAGAGUAGCUAAUACCGCAUACGAUCUAUGGAUGAAAGCGGGGGACCGUAAGGCCUCGCGCGAUUGGAGCGGCCGAUGUCAGAUUAGGUAGUUGGUGGGGUAAAGGCUCACCAAGCCAACGAUCUGUAGCUGGUCUGAGAGGACGACCAGCCACACUGGGACUGAGACACGGCCCAGACUCCUACGGGAGGCAGCAGUGGGGAAUUUUGGACAAUGGGCGCAAGCCUGAUCCAGCAAUGCCGCGUGCAGGAAGAAGGCCUUCGAGUUGUAAACUGCUUUUGUACGGAACGAAACGGCUCUGGUUAAUACCCGGGGCUAAUGACGGUACCGUAAGAAUAAGCACCGGCUAACUACGUG